This 919-nucleotide long non-coding RNA is filed under the name Pectinophora gossypiella (pink bollworm). Its description in RNAcentral is "uncharacterized LOC126381150". The record is from RNAcentral. Lineage: Eukaryota; Metazoa; Arthropoda; Insecta; Lepidoptera; Gelechiidae.
AAAAAAGCGAGCUACUGGGUGUACCUCCUGGGUAGUUUGGAAAUCACCUAAGAUAUAUAUGUAUAUAUUUAUAAAUAAAAGUUAAUAUAUAUAAAUUAACAUUAUUUUUUUUUAACAGGAAAUGCACAAUGCUAAAAACUGCGUAGGAGAUUUUAAUACAAUAGUACUACCAAGCCUGAUGUUGGCCGCUAUUUCAAUGAAUGCAGCAGUGUCACAGCUAGCAAUCAAAAGUAACAAGAUAUUGAGGAAAUGCAGAUGGCAAUAAACUGUGUAGGAGUUCAUGAUUGCAAUAGAAUAAAAUCGACCAAGCCUGAAGUCAGCAGCCCCUUCAAUGAAUGCAGCAGUGUGACAGCCAACAAUCAAAAGUUACAAGAUAUCGAGGAAAUGCAGAAGGCAAAAAACUGCGUAGGAGAUCAUUAAUACAAAAGUAUUAUAUAAACCAAACCUGAUGUUGCCAGCUCCUUCAAUGAAUGCAGCAGUGUGACAGCCAACAAUCAAAAGUAACAAGAUAUCGAGGAAAUGCAGAAGGCAAAAAACUGCGUAGGAGAUCAUUAAACAAUAGUAUUAUAUAAACCAAACCUGAUGUUGGCCGCGCAUUCAAAGAAUGCAGCAGUGUGACAGCCAGCAAUCAAAAGUAACAAGAUGUCGAGGAAAUGCAGAGUAUAAUAAACUGUGUAGGAGAUUAUGAUUGCAAUAGAAUAAAAUCGACCAAGCCUGAAGUCCUUCAAUGCACGCAGCAGUGUGACAGCCAGCAAUCAAAAGUUACAAGAUAUCGAGGAAAUACAGAAGGCAAAGAAGCAGAUGUCAUCAAAGAAGAUCUUUGUUCCUGCAAUGUUUCCGCAGACGAUACAACCAACAGAGCGAAGUGGAAGGAAAAGACUCGGAAUAAAGACCCCACCACCAUAUGGGAACAAUGCAA